AUAAAUGGCGGAGGAAUCAAAGGCAAAAGUAGCAAGAAAAGUGUGACUGCCCUUGGCUGGUUUGGCUCAAUGGAUAGAGUGCCUGCUGCAGACUGAGGGGGUCCCGGGUUCGAUCCCAGCCAAGGGCACAUGCCUGGGCUGCGGGCUGGAUCCCCAGGAAGGGGCGUGCCCGAGGCAGUUGGCAGACUGCGAACAGUGUGGACUCUGGGGUGAGCGCUUGGGAGGCCUUCGUGGUGGGAGUGGUCGGAGGAGAGGGCCCCUGGACGGCGGAAGAGAUGGUUAUGGUUAUCCUCCCUGUUUUGCCGGGAGGGGAAACCAAGGCCCAGAAGAAUGAAGUGGCCCGCCCAAGGGCUCAGCUAAGGCCUGGCAGGACGAGAAGGACAAGAAGCUCGUUCCUAUCCUUGUGGUUUGCUGUUUGGAAAAUCACCUGAAUGCAGGGGAGUCUGCACGGGUGGAGGCAGUGAAGAAGCGUCGUUUGGAACUGGAACGUCACACGUGGACGUGCUGAGGCUUUCUGCUGCUGGAGGGUCCGAGUUCUGUUUCUUAGCUUCUCCGUGUUUUUACCAGAAUCCGUCUCAGACACGAUGAAAGAAGAGCCUGUCUCUUAAAAACUGUCACAGUACUCACUUAUUUUGGACAACAUCCUCCUUUAGGAGAAGGCCCAUCAGUAGUAAAAAUCAGUAUUUGGUCCGAGGGUGGGUGAUAAGGGUAGGGGGUUCCUCUACAUUCCUUUGAUAAAGGGUCUCCCAAAAAAUGUAUACACACUUUGAAUGAUUAGAAAGUCCGUGUUUAUUAACAUACAGUUCAUUUUCAAAAUUUAAAAGAGCCUACAGAAAUGAAUAAUUUCCUCACCCAUGCCAGUUUUCAAACUCAUGGUCAUUCUGGUCCAGGCUCUGCAAAGGAAUCAUAAACAUCAAGAAUCAUUUUGUUCCGUAUUUGUGCGCCCUCAAUUCGUCUUCUGUUGCCAGUUUUGUACCAUAAACUUUAUGUAGCCCCAUAAAAAAAAAAAAGCCCAGUGGCACUUUAGGAUUAAUUUUCUGUGUUCAGAGCUUAGUCUGGCUUCAAGCAUUGUUUUGAAUCAGUUAAACCUGAAAAGGACUAAAAAUUAAGUGAGUUAUCAGCUGUUAAAGUGUGUAUGCAUGUUGGGGGACACCCUAUAUUUCAACUGUCUGUAUAUAACCUAACUCUGAAAUAUUUUUUAAAAGAUUUUAAUUUGUCCAAAUCAUGGUCUUAAGGGUGAUAUUCUAGACACCAUUUUGUUCUUUUAUGUCAUUUCUCCUACAGACAAUGCUUACUAUCAUGAAUUGGUGUAGUGACAACCUUGGUGUCCUAGAUGUAGACCAAAAAUUAAAAGCACUGCUGAAAUCGGUUUGGCUCAAUGGAUAGAGUGUUGGCUUGGGGACUGAAGGGACCCGGGUUCGAUUCCAGUCAAG
Molecule: long non-coding RNA, 1433 nt
Organism: Pipistrellus kuhlii (Kuhl's pipistrelle)
Lineage: Eukaryota; Metazoa; Chordata; Mammalia; Chiroptera; Vespertilionidae
Exons: 3
Source: RefSeq, a predicted model, not a curated record